GGGGAUGUUUAUGGAUUCGCCAGGAUUAUAUUGACUAUAUAAGCAUGCGUUGGUGGUGCAACUAAAAACACACGAGGUUUUCAAAAUAACCGGAAACAAUAAUUUUGCUUUUGCAGCCUAAGAAUAGGCAGCAGCUUUAUGUUAAACUUUCUUACAGUUUAUCUUAAAGUACAGUAAGUAAGAUAUAUCUAUAUUCUGCAGUCAUAAGAAUAUAGACGAAUUAACAGGACUCGUCAUUUGAUAAUGUGUUCUUCCAUAAUCACUUGAUUAAAUAAAAUUGAAGAACUAAGCAUGUAGAAAGUGUAGAGCAGUUUAGUUUUGUACACGGGUUCAAAUCCCGUCAUCUCCACCA
RNAcentral lists this transfer-messenger RNA (352 nucleotides) under Acholeplasmatales. RNAcentral describes it as "DUQU01 sp012800005 Standard tmRNA". It matches the Rfam family "transfer-messenger RNA". From Rfam's summary of the family: Bacterial tmRNA, also known as 10Sa RNA or SsrA, is named for its dual tRNA and mRNA-like properties. Its role is to liberate the mRNA from a stalled ribosome. Lineage: Bacteria; Bacillati; Mycoplasmatota; Mollicutes. RNAcentral also lists the same sequence under 1 other name. The record is from RNAcentral.